GAUGAACGCUAGCGGCAGGCCUAACACAUGCAAGUCGAGGGGUAGAACACUUCGGUGUUUGAGACCGGCGCACGGGUGCGUAACGCGUAUGCAAUCUACCUUGUACAGGGGAAUAGCCCAGAGAAAUUUGGAUUAAUGCCCCAUAGUAUAUAACCUUCGCAUGUUGGUUAUAUUAAAGUUCCAACGGUACAAGAUGAGCAUGCGUCCCAUUAGUUAGUUGGUAAGGUAACGGCUUACCAAGACGAUGAUGGGUAGGGGUCCUGAGAGGGAGAUCCCCCACACUGGUACUGAGACACGGACCAGACUCCUACGGGAGGCAGCAGUGAGGAAUAUUGGUCAAUGGUCGCAAGACUGAACCAGCCAUGCCGCGUGCAGGAAGACGGUCCUAUGGAUUGUAAACUGCUUUUAUACAGGAAGAAACCCUCCCACGUGUGGGAGCUUGACGGUACUGUAGGAAUAAGGAUCGGCUAACUCCGUGCCAGCAGCCGCGGUAAACUACUCGUA
Molecule: ribosomal RNA, 504 nt
Filed under: uncultured bacterium
Lineage: Bacteria
Description: bacterial SSU rRNA
Rfam family: Bacterial small subunit ribosomal RNA
Source: RNAcentral